Molecule: ribosomal RNA, 498 nt
Filed under: uncultured Glomeromycotina
Lineage: Eukaryota; Fungi; Glomeromycota
Description: partial small subunit ribosomal RNA
Rfam family: Eukaryotic small subunit ribosomal RNA
Source: RNAcentral
CCAAUAGCGUAUAUUAAAGUUGCUGCAGUUAAAAAGCUCGUAGUUGAAUUUCGGGACUAAUAUGUCGGUCGUGCCUCGGUACGUACUGGCUUAUUGGUUUCUCCUUUCUGAAGAACCAUGAUGUCAUUUAUUUGGUGUCGUGGGGAAUCAGGACUGUUACUUUGAAAAAAUUAGAGUGUUUAAAGCAGGCUCACGCUUGAAUACAUUAGCAUGGAAUAAUGAAAUAGGACGUUUGAUUCUAUUUUGUUGGUUUCUAGGAUCGACGUAAUGAUUAAUAGGGAUAGUUGGGGGCAUUAGUAUUCAAUUGUCAGAGAUGAAAUUCUUGGAUUUAUUGAAGACUAACUACUGCGAAAGCAUUUGCCAAGGAUGUUUUCAUUAAUCAAGAACGAAAGUUAGGGGAUCGAAGACGAUCAGAUACCGUCGUAGUCUUAACCAUAAACUAUGCCGACUAGGGAUCGGAUGAUGUUAAUUUUUUAAUGACUCAUUCGGCGCCUUACG